GGGAAGGAUUCCCAGGGCAGAAAUAAGUUUGGGUGCAUUUCGAGCUUUCUGUUCCUGCUUGUUUGCUUUUGCAGACGCUCACUCCGAAUGCGCGUGGAGCGCCCCACAGCACCACCGCCCUCCGCGCGCUAGCGCGCACACGCCCCCCACCAGCCUGGGCGCCGGGCUGCGAACCCCGGGUCUGCAAACUUGCGGAUCUCCCCUCGCCGCGCCCGCCAGACAACUUGGCGAGCGCCUCACGCGCCCGCACCCCCCUUCCUCCAUGGAGCCCUUCCUCCAAAUCCCAAACCCACCGCCGUGUUCCAGAGAAGGUGCCCCCGUCGCCCCCUGAUCCAGGAGCGCCCCCUCGCCACCCCCCGGGGCUUCCCAGGUCGCUCACUCCUCCCGCACCCCCUCAGCUCUGCGGGGGACCGAAAACACACCCUGUCUGAGGCAGCCGGGGCCGAAACUGUCAAGAGGAGAAAAGAGAUCGCUGGAGAUGGCGAGCUCCGAGACUCCCUCUAUCUUCUGUUUUCAGAGCAACUCUAUGCCCAGGGACAAAAUUAAGAUCAGCGAGAUGAUUCCGUGCCUACUUCUGAGACUCUCUCGGGAACAGAACUCGUCCCCAUCUGCAGGCGGCGUGAGAAGAGACAAAUGCGAUCAUCCACGGUGGGGAAUCGCAGGUAGCUCCCUGCCAGCCCACCCCAGGACUGAGGAGAAAAUAAAAAGGAAUUCGACCUGGGCCGACAGACACCCCAAGGAAGGAGGAGGUUGGGGGGGACGUGGCACUUCUUACUUCGGGAUGGGACGUCCAGUGGGUUUCCAGACUUAGUUUGAUACAUCUGUGUCUAAAACAGAUUUUGGGUCUAGAAUCGCCAUGGACAGCCAAUUUCUGGUGUGGUUGAAAGAGGUGGCUUUCAGCCGCUUUGCUGUUUCCUCUGAGAAGGAUCCAGAAACCACUUGGCAGGGCAGUUUCUACUGAAGAAAACUUUGGCCUGUUUGGUUGACGACUAUCUAAGCUGGUUGAAAUAUGCCACACUGCAUCUAGUUCCUGUGUGGCUGCUAAUUGUCAAUAUCCACUGGUCAUUUUGCUAUUAAAUGUACAGUCUCAUCCAUAAAAGAUAUACUGAAGAGGCAUUAAUAAUGUCUGGAUGAUAGAAUUCAGAUAAUUAACAGCUCCUGAUAAGUCACAUCAUUGUAGACAUUAUUCUGCACCUCCCUUCCAUUGAAACAUACCCAUCACACAGUAGGUGUUUAAUGAAAUCCAAGGGAAGUAGAGAAUUGCAUCAGUAUUACCGUGACCCCAAACUCCAAUAUGAAGGGACAAUACAAAUUGAAUGAGUGGAAACCAUUCAGGUGGUAGUAGCCUGACUUCUCUGCCUCAAUACUCGAUUCACCAGUUCUUUUUGCCUGCCCAGACACUGAUGAAAUCGGUACAUUUUUAACACACACCCCCACCAUCCUUUCAGAAAGCUCACAAAUUUUGACGAUAAAAAAUAUUAUUAUAUACCAGAAGGUGGCAUAAAUAUGUGUAUUUAGGGGGUUGGGAUGAGAGAAAGAAGUAGGGAACAUUUUGCUUUUUCUACCUUCCUGGUUUGGAAAAAGGCUUUUUAAAAAUAAGGUGGGAGGGGGGACCUAGUUAGAUAAUUGCUUAAGAGGAACCUCUAUAUGCCAAACUUCACACAUGGUUUGUGUUACUGUUACUGAUCUUGGUCUGAUUUCAGAUACACAAUGCUAUUUGCCAUGGUCUGUGUGUUAAAUCAGCAAAACCUGUGGUCCACUCUUCGGAGUGAUGUAAAUGAGAUGUGAACGGUUCUGAUACCUUAAUCCAGUCUCUGCAAGGAUCCCUGGCUUUAGCCUGUCUGUUGGCGCCUACAAACAAAGCCACGAUUGUCUCCUCCAUCCCAAAUCAGAUGUGUGGGUUUCCCCAUACAUCAAAGCACAGAUUUCCAGAACAGCCUUCACACCAUUUACAAUUGGUUAGCCUGUUAAUAAUGUUCUUGAUACAACUGACCUAUCUUGUCACUCUUGACUUUUCUAAGUAAACAAAUAUAUCAAAGUGCACAGUUUAAUAAAUAAGCGAGUGCCUCUGGGGAAGUGAAUAUCUCAAAAUAUAUCCACUGCUUCCAUAUUUAUUUUAAAAUAUUUUUAAACAAUUUUUCAUAUUAAAUUUCACCAAUAAUUCUAUUUGGGAUACAAGUGGCUCAAAACAUACCCCUGGCUCCUUUUUAGGUACCAGUAGCAACUCAUUAACAUUUUUCUGGUUAAGUCUAUUCCCCUGAGCCUUCAAUUGGUUCCUUUGCUCUUCUCUAAGCUGGUAUUUGUUCACCCUGGAAAGACCUUCCUGGAAAUGGCCCUAGUGACCUUAGUCAACUAAGAUAGAAUCCAUAUUCCCUUCAGCAGUAAAUUCCAGCUCCAAAAAGCCAUUCCUCCUAACUCUCUAAAACAAUUACUGCUUCUGCAACUUAAAACAAUUGGGACCGAAAGUGCUUUCCCCAAGGGAAAAAUAAAAGUGAGUUAGAUACAUUCCUUGACUGUCAGUCAUUGUUACUAAAGUGUAAAUUACCCAGGUUGGGGAAGCAUUUGAAACCUGGAAAGCACAGUGAUUAGGUUUAUAUAUUUUACUUCCCUCAUGCCCCUUGCCUGCUUACUAAUUAAAGCUUAACAAUUUUUCAAAUAUUUGGAAAGAUGGAAGCCUUCCUUAGGCUCUGCUCGUUGACAAAGGGCAAUAGUGUUUGCUUAAAAAUGGUUAUUUUACUUUGCACUACUGAGUUCUCUGACAGACGAUGGCUUAGAAAAUCUAUGCUUUGUAGAAGAGAUAAACCUAAAUCCAUUUUUUUGCAGACUGUUCUCUCCCUCCCCAAAUUCUCCAAGACUCUUCCCUCCCUCCUGGCCAAUCCCACGCUCCCCUCUUGAUGGUAACAAGAUGGUUUGUUUUCUCUUAUUCCAAGGUAAUUCCUGGGAACCUCUGAGUGAGCUUUGACUCCUCUUUCUCACCACUGGCCCUAGCUCUCCACAUCUUCACGUACUUGCCAAGUGCUUUAAAUUCUACCUCUGUGACCUGUGUCCCUUCUUUCCACAGCCACCACUCUAGUUCCAGACAUUAUUGCUCACCUACACCAUUACAAUAACCUUCCAAAUAACUGGCCUUCAGUCUUAUAACCAUUCUAAUCCAUCCCAAAUAACACUGCCAAGUUAAUUACCCUGAACUACAACUCUCAUUUCCCACCAUGUCACUCCCCUGCUUACAAGACUUUAAUGGCUCCCCAUUGCCUAUCCAAUUAACUACUAACUAGUCAACACGGUAUUCAAGGCUCUACCUCACUUAUCUCCACACUCCUGCACCAGGAAUGGCAAAUUGAUCUAUCUCAUGAAGGAGCUCCUGAGGUUGGUUGGAAAGGUGUGGGCUGUGAUUAAUUAAUGUCGUCUCCCAUGGGUGGAGGAUUGGGAGUGUGACACUCAUGCAGAGUUUGCCAAACUGCCUUACAUCCUUACAUAAUCGCUGCAAUCCCUGUGUAAUCCUCAGACCAAGCCACGUGCUGCCUCCUACGCUUCUUCCUGCUUGUAGUGCGGGAGACAGGGACAGGUGCCUAUGCGUCUUUUCCCCAAAUGCUCUUCUUGCCCUCUCCGUUUACUGAAACUCUACCUAUCAAGGUCCAUUCUGAAAGGCAACUCUUCUGUGGAACCUUCUCUGAUUUACCCCAAACCAAAUAUUUGAACUUAGUACUGUUGACCCUUGAACAACACAAGGGUUAGGGGCGCUGACCCACCGUGCAGUCGAAAAUCCACAUAUAACUUUUGACUCCCCCCAAAACGUCACUAAUAGCCUACUGUUCACUGGCAGCCUUACUGAUAACAUAAACAGUCAAUUCACAUUUAAUUUGUCUAUGCUUCAUACACUGUUCUUAGAAUAAAGUAAGCUAGAGAAAAGAAAAUGUCAUUAAGAAAAUCAUAAGGAAGAGAAAAUACAUUUAGAGUGCUGUACUAUAUUUAUAGAAAAAAAAAAUCCACAGAUAAGUGGACCCAUGCUGUUGAAACCUGGUUGGUCAAGGGUCAACUGUACUUUGCACCCCUUUUAAGGCACUUGGCACAAUUUAUCUAUUUUGUGCUGUCCUUGGUUGAAGAUUUGCCUUACUCUUCCUGGUAAAAGAUACAUUCCUUGAAAAUAGGGACUCUGCCCUUGCACAUAGUAGGCACUCAUUAGAGUUAGUGGAUUUGGGGAAUGGAAUUGAUAAACUAAUCAUAACGUAGCAUGUCCACACAGUGCUCUGUUACACAAUGAGAAUGAAAACCUAAGCGUUUCAACUUUCAAUCACUUGAACUAAGCCUUUCCUUCCUGGAUAAAAGAUCAGUUGACAUGUAUGGGCUGUUAAAAUUUAUAUAUGCAAAAAAGUUGACAGUUAUUUUCUUUGCAUUUUGUGGAGAGGGAGAGCAGGAAAAUUAUGGAAAUAUAUAGUAGAAUAUCCUUGGGAGAGGGGAGCUUUCUACAACAUGCCUAAGAACAAAGAAGACAAAAUUAAAACCGAGUGCCCAGACGACAAGUUUCUUUUCUUUCAAAAAAGCAUCAAGAAGCUGAAGCUGAACUCUGCCGGAAGUAGAAGAAACUCAAAUGAAAACACCGCACUGCUUUGGGGUAUGGGAGGGACUUCAUCCUCCUGCAAGGUUUGUAGGUACAGAGUCCGGCCAGGCCCAGCCAGCGAAGUCUGGGCUAGGAAGAGCCCACUGUUCAGAUCAGAGAAGGAAGCCUGUAAACCUGAGGUCCUCACGGAUGGGAACAGGAGAGCCAGGCUCACCAGAUGCUAGGAAAUAAGGAGGAAGAUUUACUCUGGCUGAUCCAGUGCAACUCUCUUCCCAUUUUGUGAAAGAGAGAACUAAAAUGCAGAGAACUGCCUUGCUCAAGACCACCCAGUUAAUCAGUGGCCUGACCUGGUAGCCUCAGAGCAGGAAUUCCAGACCCAGCCCUGCCACAGAGGAGCAGUCUAGGUCCGUUUCCUCAUCUACAGAUGAAGGUUGUUAGGAGGGUAGAUGAGAUGUUCUUCUAGAAUGCGUGCCACUCAAAAUUUUGCUACUAUUCUUAGUCAUCUUAGAGGAUUUAAUAAAAUACUGUAUACAACUGCCCUGUCCAGUACAGUAACCACUAGCUACAAGUGGCUACUGAAUACUUGGAAUGUGGCUAAUCCAAAUUGAACUAUAUGAUAUGUAUUAAAACCAACAUUAGAGUUUGAAGACAGUACACAAAAAUGUAGUGUCUCAUUAAUAGUUUUAUAUUGAUUGCAUGUUGAAAUGAUAACAGUUUGCAUCUAUCGGGUUAAAUAAAAUAUUCUGCUCAAGUUAAUUUCAUCUCUUUUAACUUUAAAAAAUCUGGCUACGGGGGACAACUGGGUGGCUCAGACGGUUAGGUGUCUUAACUGUGGCUCAGGUCAUGAUCCCAGGGUCCUGGGAUGAAGUCUGCUUCUCCCUCUGCCUGAUGCUCCUUCUGCUUGUGCUCUCUGUUUCUCUCUGACAAAUAAAUAAAAUCUUUAAAAAAAAUCUGACUACUGAAAAUAUAAAAUUUGUAUGUGCUUUGCUUUAUAUAUCUGUUGGAUAGUGCUAAUAUGGAACAUAUAUGGCACAUAGUAGGUGUAUGAUGAUUUAGAGUAAUCACUAGUGUUCAACUGGGGUAUCACUGGGUCGAGAGUUAAAUGACAUCUAUCUUGUCAUUUUACAAAAUCUUCAUUGUUCUCCUAUUACUUGCAGGGUAUUGAGCUGGAGUCUAGGGAAAAUAGAGACAGAACUAUUAUGUCUUACAGAGAAGGUAAAAAGUGCACACCAAACCUUAGUGGCAUUCAGGGAUGAGGCUACAAUGGCCCUAGAGACCAGCAUCUAAGUUGCUAAAAGUCUUUCUCAGGAAACAGAACACAAAGCAAAACUGAGCAGGAAGUACAGAGAUUUCCCAUAUACUUCCUGCUCCUAUAUAUUCACCACGUCCCCCCAUAACAUCCCACACCAGAGGGGUAUAUUUGUUACAACUGAUGAACUUACAUUGGCACACCCAAAGUCCAUCAUUUACAUUAAGGUUCACUCUUGGUGUUGUACAUCCUUUGGGUUUUGAUAAAUGUAUAAUGACAUGUAUCCGCCAUUAUAAUAUUGAACAGAGCAGUUUCACUGCCCUGAAAAUACUCUCUGCUCCUCCUAUUCAUCCCUCCCUCUCCCUGACCCUAGCAACCACUGAUUUUUUUUCUUAAAGAUUUUAUUUAUCUAUUUGAGAGAGAGACAGAGAGUGAACACAAGCGUCAGGCAGAGGGAGAAGCAGGCUCCCCGCGGAGCAGGGUGCCCAACAAGGGGCUCGAUCCUGGGACUCCAGGAUCAUGACCUGAGCCGAAAGCAGAUGCUUAACUGACUGAGCCAUCCAGGUGCCCUGCAACCACUGAUUUUUUUACUGUCUCCAUAGUUUAGCUUUUCCAGAACAUCACACAGAAUAUAUAUAUAUAGCCUUUUCAGGUCGCCUUCUUUCACUUAGUAAUUAAUACGCAUGUAAAUUUCCUCAUUCCAUAACUUAAUAGCUGAUUUCUUUUUAGCACAAAAUAAUAUUCCAUUGUCUGGAUAUACCACAGUUUAUCUAUUCACCAACUGAAGGACAUCUUGGUUGUUUUCAA
Mirounga angustirostris (Northern elephant seal) is the source of this 6614-nucleotide long non-coding RNA. RefSeq lists it as uncharacterized. The transcript has 3 exons. Lineage: Eukaryota; Metazoa; Chordata; Mammalia; Carnivora; Phocidae. The record is from RefSeq and is a predicted model, not a curated record.